GUUGGUGUCGGAGAAAACUCCCCAAAGACGAUUUGUGUGUGCGCCCAUCUCUACACAUAGUGUUAAAUUGUCACAGUUUUAGUUUCAAUGUGAAAGAACUCUGGCAUUGUGGCAAUGGUAUGAAAAUAACUUGGUCGAGUGCACGAGGGAAGCUCGCUUAAUAAAACCGAACUCACAAGGAUGACGAUUUGAACUCGGCCAAAUCCGUGACGCGUUCAGAGGGCUUUCCAACGAAAUAAUUCAUUCGUCCCGGAAAUCAAAUAAUAACAUUGUCUGGCGGUGAUUUCAAAUUCAGACUGGAUGCCGACGAAUACCAGAAAUAUCGGAGAUUGCUAGACGCACUCUUCUGUUGUUGUGACGCAAUCGAAAGUUUUUGGGUGGAGGAAAAACGCAAAUCAAACUCAAGAAGUAGACGCCGUUCCAACGAAUAACAAAAAAAUUGACAAUUGAAGGCCUCGAAUAUCUUCUGUUCGUUGGAAUUUCGACGAGAGCAAUAGCUCAACUGACCCACAUUGGACUUUACACACCAAGAAUAGUGAUUACCAAAUUCUGGUGUAUGAUCAAAACUUGCUGAUCUUUUUAUUUAUUUUCGUCUGUAAAAAAUCUAAUCCAAACAAAUGAAACGACGGAUAAACCGAACGGAAAGUAUGUAGCCCGUCAUAUCGUCCAGACUGCGACAGGUAAUUCCCAGAUUUCACAAUGCCUCGGGAUCAUCUGAGUAAUUAAAAUUGUUAUCGUCCUUGAGUGUUUUGGGGUAGAGUUAGUGCAUAUUGAAGCAAGUGAAGCAGUUAGAUCAACCAAUUUAAUAAUUAUGUGAUUAAUCAAUUUAGAGUUUUACUUCUUAUAAAUAGAUAGCGCUAAGGAAACUAGUCACUGUUACAUCAGGACUUAUUUUAAAAGAGAUUAUCUAGUGAGCGGGAAGGGUUUAAUUAAUGUGUAUGAAGGCUUUAUUUGGGAUGGUUUUACACAAAACG
Molecule: long non-coding RNA, 974 nt
Filed under: Bemisia tabaci
Lineage: Eukaryota; Metazoa; Arthropoda; Insecta; Hemiptera; Aleyrodidae
Description: lncRNA ENSSSA3NGG013599
Source: RNAcentral